UCCCUGGAGGACUAGAGGUUAGGCCACAGCACUCUCACUGCCGUGGCCCGGGUUCAAUUCCCGCCACUGGGGCU
This 74-nucleotide transfer RNA is filed under the name Pangasius djambal. Its description in RNAcentral is "tRNA-Glu". Lineage: Eukaryota; Metazoa; Chordata; Actinopteri; Siluriformes; Pangasiidae. The record is from RNAcentral.